This 247-nucleotide ribosomal RNA is filed under the name Coprinellus sp. 1 CRJH-2017. Its description in RNAcentral is "partial 28S ribosomal RNA". It matches the Rfam family "Eukaryotic large subunit ribosomal RNA", at positions 104 to 344 of the family's 3401-position model. The record is from RNAcentral. Lineage: Eukaryota; Fungi; Basidiomycota; Agaricomycetes; Agaricales; Psathyrellaceae.
AAAGCUCAAAUUUAAAAUCUGGUGGUCUCCGGCCAUCCGAGUUGUAAUCUAGAGAAGUGUUACCCGCGUCGGACCGUGUACAAGUCUCCUGGAAUGGAGCGUCAUAGAGGGUGAGAAUCCCGUCUUUGACACGGACCCCCGAGGCUUUGUGGUGCGCUCUCAAAGAGUCGAGUUGUUUGGGAAUGCAGCUCAAAAUGGGUGGUAAAUUCCAUCUAAAGCUAAAUACAGGCGAAAGACCGAUAGCGAA